RNAcentral lists this ribosomal RNA (465 nucleotides) under uncultured bacterium. Its description in RNAcentral is "partial 16S ribosomal RNA". It matches the Rfam family "Bacterial small subunit ribosomal RNA", at positions 28 to 507 of the family's 1533-position model. The record is from RNAcentral.
GACGAACGCUGGCGGCGUGCUUAACACAUGCAAGUCGAACGGAAAGGCCCCUUUGGGGGUACUCGAGUGGCGAACGGGUGAGUAACACGUGAGUAACCUGCCCUUGACUUCGGGAUAACUUCAGGAAACUGGGGCUAAUACCGGAUAGGAAUCCUUGCUGCAUGGUGGGGGUUGGAAAGCUUCGGCGGUUUUGGAUGGACUCGCGGCUUAUCAGCUUGUUGGUGGGGUAGUGGCUUACCAAGGCUUUGACGGGUAGCCGGCCUGAGAGGGCGACCGGCCACAUUGGGACUGAGAUACGGCCCAGACUCCUACGGGAGGCAGCAGUGGGGAAUAUUGCACAAUGGGCGGGAGCCUGAUGCAGCAACGCCGCGGGCGGGAUGACGGCCUUCGGGUUGGAAACCGCUUUCAGCAGGGGCGAAGCUUGUGGUGACGGUACCUGCAGAAGAAGCACCGGCUAACUACGUG